UCGAAACCUGCCUAGCAGAACGACCAGCGAACAUGUUUACACGAUUCAUGGGGAGGGGUGCUGGCCUGUCUAGUGCCCUCCUCUACGUCGGGGGGUAGUCCUCUUGGAUUGCUUCCCGGCUCAACAACCAACCCCGGCGCGUUAUGCGUCAAGGAAUAGAAACAUGAUGUUACCACUCUAAGCCCGGGUCUCCGGUGCAUGGAUUUGGUACCUAAUCUUAAGUCAUAAAAUGA
Molecule: unclassified non-coding RNA, 233 nt
Filed under: Pseudoplantago friesii
Lineage: Eukaryota; Viridiplantae; Streptophyta; Magnoliopsida; Caryophyllales; Amaranthaceae
Description: ITS1
Source: RNAcentral